Molecule: long non-coding RNA, 570 nt
Filed under: Helianthus annuus (common sunflower)
Lineage: Eukaryota; Viridiplantae; Streptophyta; Magnoliopsida; Asterales; Asteraceae
Description: sRNA HanXRQr2_Chr16g0760531
Source: RNAcentral
UUGAUUCAAACAGAGGUUGGUUUUCUUGAUUCCAUUACCAGUGAAACCCUAAUGGAUCCUUCCCGCUGCCUGAAUCAUCUUCCAAUUUUUGUUGUCGUCUCCCAAAACCCGAAUAUCAGUAUUUCUUAAUCGGGAUAUUUUUUUAUCAUAGUUGGUUUUUACCUAAUAUAUUUUCUUUUUUCACUCUCAGAACCCUAAAUCUCAAUAGCAACAACUAACCAACAGGCUUUGGGGAUUGUGAUGGUUGAUUAGUAUCUGAUUCUUGCUAUCAUUCUUCUUGUGGUGUUUGUUACACAUCUGGAAACUGGGACAUUAUGCCUUAGCCACUGCCUCCAGCAAUGAAGGCUAGGGUUCUGACGAGUUGACCUAGAGCCAGUUCAGUUGACAGGUUAAAGAAUAACCGCUAUCGCUACCACCUCCAUCGUUACAGGAAUGAAUGAGGCUUAGCCUUUUAUGUGGUUUGUCACUGCCUCAGCCAAGGUGCGCCUCAAAUCGCCUUUUAAAACCAUGAAUGCAGGUACGUAUAUAUUUCGAAAACAACAUGAUUUAUUAUGUUACAUGUCUUUAUCG